RNAcentral lists this small RNA (1231 nucleotides) under Pan troglodytes (chimpanzee). RNAcentral describes it as "processed transcript". Lineage: Eukaryota; Metazoa; Chordata; Mammalia; Primates; Hominidae. The record is from RNAcentral.
UGGCUGUCCUGUUGGAGAACUAUGAGCAAGCAGAAAUUUUCUUUGAGGAUGCUACUUGCUUGGAACCAACUAAUGUUGUAGCCUGGACUUUACUUGGUUUGUACUAUGAAAUUCAAAACAAUGAUAUUCGAAUGGAAAUGGCAUUUCAUGAGGCCUCCAAACAGCUUCAGGCACGGAUGCUUCAGGCACAAGACCAGGAGCUGCAUUAUCUAUUCUAGACAAAUUUCUUGAAGAAUCCUCCAAACUGCAGUCUGAUUCACAAGAACCCAUUUUGACUACACAAACUUGGGAUCCAAGUAUAAGCCAAAAACCAUCUAACACAUUUAUCAAGGAGAUACCAACAAAGAAAGAAGCAUCAAAAUGUCAAGAUUCAUCAGCUCUUCUGCAUCCCGGCCUUCAUUAUGGUGUUUCUCAAACUACCACCAUCUUCAUGGAGACCAUACGUUUCUUGAUGAAAGUCAAGGCUGUGCAGUAUGUGCACAGAGUGCUUGCACAUGAGCUGUUAUGCCCUCAAGGAGGCCCCAGCUGUGAAUAUUACUUGGUGCUGGCCCAAACACACAUUCUUAAGAAGGACUUUGCCAAGGCAGAGGAAUACCUUCAACAAGCAGCCCAGAUGGACUACCUGAACCCCAAUGUCUGGGGCCUGAAGGGCCAUCUCUAUUUUCUGAGUGGAAAUCAUUCUGAGGCCAAGGCAUGCUAUGAACGAACCAUUAGCUUUGUAAUGGAUGCUUCUGAGAUGCACUUCGUCUUCCUGAGACUGGGGCUCAUCUAUCUGGAAGAGAAAGAGCUGGAGGAGCUCACAGAGGCUGAGGAUGCUCUUUCUGAAGCCAAUGCAUUGAACAACUACAAUGCUGAAGUAUGGGCAUAUCUGGCUCUGGUCUGCCUGAAAGUUGGACGGCAAUUAGAAGCUGAGCAGGCCUACAAGUACAUGAUCAAGCUGAAAUUGAAAGAUGAGGCUCUGCUUGCAGAGAUCCACACACUACAGGAAACAGUUGGCUUUGGAAAUCCAUCUUUCUGAUACCCCUCCAGCUGAACAAUUUUCUGCAUGGGACUCUGAGUUCCUUUCCUUCCCAGAGAGUUUUACCGUAUGAAGCCUGGAGCUGGAGAACGAAAGAAUCUUCACUAUAAACAGAGACCCAUUCAUUUAUUUCCAUUGGCUGUGUUACUGGAUGUUUUACUGGUUGACAAGAAACUGGGUCACAAUAAAAAAAUGGAGAUAUGAAACUCAAAA